UGGGGAAUAUUGGACAAUGGGGGCAACCCUGAUCCAGCAAUGCCGCGUGUGUGAAGAAGGCCUGAGGGUUGUAAAGCACUUUCAGUGGGGAGGAGGAAUGCUAGGUUAAGAGCUAGGUAUUUGGACGUUACCCACAGAAGAAGCACCGGCUAACUCCGUGCCAGCAGCCGCGGUAAUACGGAGGGUGCGAGCGUUAAUCGGAAUUACUGGGCGUAAAGGGUGCGUAGGUGGUUUAUUAAGUUAUCUGUGAAAUCCCUGGGCUCAACCUGGGCAGGUCAGAUAAGACUGGUAAACUCGAGUAUGGGAGAGGGUAGUGGAAUUUCCGGUGUAGCGGUGAAAUGCGUAGAUAUUCGCAGGAACACCAGUGGCGAAGGCGACUUGCUGGGCUUGUAGUGACGCUGAGACGCGAAAGCGUGGGGAGCAAACAGGAUUAGAUACCCCGGUAGUCCCUGAGCGGGCUGGCAAGGCGCAU
This 472-nucleotide ribosomal RNA is filed under the name uncultured bacterium. RNAcentral's name for it is "bacterial SSU rRNA". It matches the Rfam family "Bacterial small subunit ribosomal RNA", at positions 355 to 825 of the family's 1533-position model. The record is from RNAcentral.